AGUGAACGCUGGCGGUAGGCCUAACACAUGCAAGUCGAACGGCAGCACAGGAGAGCUUGCUCUCUGGGUGGCGAGUGGCGGACGGGUGAGGAAUACAUCGGAAUCUACUUUUUCGUGGGGGAUAACGUAGGGGAACUUACGCUAAUACCGCAUACGACCUACGGGUGAAAGCAGGGGAUCUUCGGACCUUGCGCGAUUGAAUGAGCCGAUGUCGGAUUAGCUAGUUGGCGGGGUAAAGGCCCACCAAGGCGACGAUCCGUAGCUGGUCUGGGAGGAUGAUCAGCCACACGGGAACUGAGACACGGUCCAGACUCCUACGGGAGGCAGCAGUGGGGAAUAUUGGACAAUGGGCGCAAGCCUGAUCCAGCCAUACCGCGUGGGUGAAGAAGGCCUUCGGGUUGUAAAGCCCUUUUGUUGGAAAGAAAUCCAGCUGGUUAAUACCCGGUUGGGAUGACGGUACCCAAAGAAUAAGCACCGGCUAACUUCGUGCCAGCCGCCGCCGUAA
Molecule: ribosomal RNA, 505 nt
Filed under: uncultured bacterium
Lineage: Bacteria
Description: partial 16S ribosomal RNA
Rfam family: Bacterial small subunit ribosomal RNA
Source: RNAcentral